UGGGCUAGAAUGCAAGGAGACCGAUCCUGAAAGGGGUCUUCCCCGUAAGGGGCUGCUUGUAAGGUGCUGCAUGGCUGUCGUCAGCUCGUGUCGUGAGAUGUUGGGUUAAGUCCCGCAACGAGCGCAACCCCCAUCAUUAGUUGCCAUCGGGUAAAGCCGGGGACUCUAGUGAAACUGCCCGCGUAAGCGGUGAGGAAGGAGGGGACGACGUCAAGUCAUCACGGCCUUUAUGUCCAGGGCUACACACGUGCUACAAUGGUAGGUACAAUGGGUCGCAACACGGCGACGUGAAGCUAAUCUCAAAAAACCUAUCUCAGUCCAGAUUGGAGUCUGCAACCCGACUCCAUGAAGCUGGAAUCGCUAGUAAUCGGGUAUCAGCUAUGAUCCGGUGAAUACGUUCCCGGACC
This 407-nucleotide ribosomal RNA is filed under the name uncultured bacterium. RNAcentral describes it as "bacterial SSU rRNA". It matches the Rfam family "Bacterial small subunit ribosomal RNA", at positions 976 to 1380 of the family's 1533-position model. The record is from RNAcentral.